Anthonomus grandis grandis is the source of this 1813-nucleotide long non-coding RNA. RefSeq lists it as uncharacterized. Lineage: Eukaryota; Metazoa; Arthropoda; Insecta; Coleoptera; Curculionidae. The record is from RefSeq and is a predicted model, not a curated record. The transcript is spliced from 3 exons.
CUCAACUCCCUAGAAAUAGUCCUUGUAAAUCGGUUAGUCUUGCCGGACUAUUAUUUAUGACAUAACAAGAUGGCUAGUGUAGUCGUAUAAGUCUAAUUUCUCGCAGUACCUAAAAUAAUUAAAACAAUGCUUUACCACAGACAAAAUUACAAAAAUAGCCCUAUUACUCGUACUUAUAAAAUUUACAACAAGGUCAUUUUUAAAUAUCUUAACCAAAUGAAUAAAAGUUAGGAUUCUCCAGAUCCCGUCUAAAGCGUAAUUAAUCCUGUAACAAGGGCACUUUUUUAACAUCCUAAACACUUCAUAUUCCGUAAACUCCAAUUUAGAUAACAAAAUAUCCGAAAACAACCAUGUAUCAGCCAACGAAAGUAAAUUAUAGCUGCAUGCGGAUAUUGUUUGCUUCAAAUGCUUUAGCUUAGACCUCAUACCUUUAGCGUUAAAAUAAUACAUUAGUCACAAUCUGUAGUGUGUACGUCUUCUUUGUUAAGUUGGGUUCUUUGUAUCAUUAUGUAAGUCACCAAACGGUUUAAACCUAUCACUGCUAAUUUUACUGAUAGCUUUUUCCGCAUUUUAUAAGUUUUAACCUAAAAGUUAGGAGUUAUUAGUUACCUUUUAAUUAGGAUUGUAUAUCACCGUACCAUUAUCAAAACAGUGACAGUGUCUUGUUACACACCAAACAUCACUGGGAAGGAAACUUUAAAUUUUCACCUAUAUUUAACUAGCUGUUGGCAACUAUAAAUAAAAACAAAAUUGAAUAGCUCUAAGUUUUUUCUCUUAUUCCACUAGAAGUCUGAUGUAAAAAUAUGACGACUAUUACCGUCAAAUGGGGUAAAGUGAACACUAAGGGGUAAAGUUAACUCUAACAGUCCGAACUCGUUGAUCGACCUUCAACGUCACGGUACGACAGUACACCGCGACUUUAUACAAGUUUACACAAGUGCACGAGGCGAAUAUUUAGUCUAGUGGAUGACAUGUUUGAGGCUGAUAGCGUUCGCUAUUGCAGUUGUGUUUCAGUUCGUGUUUGCCGUAAAAUUGUUGUUGGUUGAAAAGAUUGACGUGCAGUAAGGAAAGUAUACACCACACGGGUUUUUUGGCUAUUUAAGUAGGCCCUGCAGCUGAGAGAUGUUGAGCGGCACACAAUGAGUCUUAAUGCUCCCAUGCCCUAUACAAAUGGCGUGAGUUUCUCGAUCUGAGGAAGUAUAGAGAAGGUCAUAAACUGCAGAUGAAAAGACUGCAACAUCUAGACUACCAGUCUGGUUAAAACCAUUUUGACCAAACAAGGAAGAUUUGCACUUGAAAAUUGGUUGAAGUAGAGCCUAGUACAAGAAUGAAGAUACCAACUAGAAGUGCGGUUCUGCGACCUGCCGGAUUGUUUCUGGAGCUACCGGGACUUGGUGUCUACUGGCAUACCGAGACGCUUAAUGCUCUAUGGAGGUACCGAAAUUUCCUGGUGGGGGUAUAGCCGCGGCAUAUUUAGUAUCAUCAUAUUCCUUAGUCUGUCACUUAUAUGUAUGUAUGUAUUAUUUUAGGUGUAUCCUACCUAAGUGUUUGUAUCAUUUAAAGAGUUUAUUGACUUGUCUAUAUGUAUUUUUCAAUUAUUGGCAUGCUCUAAAUUUUCUGUACAAAUACAUUUAUUUAUUUUCUAAAUUAGGCAGCAUAUAGCCACUUCUGUUUGACGUUGCUUUGUGAUUUGUAUAAUCAUUUUGUUGGAAAAUAAAGAAUUAUUUAUUUAUUUAUUAUUUAUUUAGCAUUCCCAACCACGGAACCCAAAAAAAAAAUGAGGACCGAUAAAAUUAUAAGAAGUGAACUUCAA